RNAcentral lists this ribosomal RNA (389 nucleotides) under uncultured bacterium. RNAcentral describes it as "bacterial SSU rRNA". It matches the Rfam family "Bacterial small subunit ribosomal RNA", at positions 335 to 715 of the family's 1533-position model. The record is from RNAcentral.
ACUCCUACGGGAGGCAGCAGUAGGGAAUCUUCCACAAUGGGCGCAAGCCUGAUGGAGCAACACCGCGUGAGUGAAGAAGGGUUUCGGCUCGUAAAGCUCUGUUGUUAAAGAAGAACACGUAUGAGAGUAACUGUUCAUACGUUGACGGUAUUUAACCAGAAAGUCACGGCUAACUACGUGCCAGCAGCCGCGGUAAUACGUAGGUGGCAAGCGUUAUCCGGAUUUAUUGGGGCGUAAAGAGAGUGCAGGCGGUUUUCUAAGUCUGAUGUGAAAGCCUUCGGCUUAACCGGAGAAGUGCAUCGGAAACUGGAUAACUUGAGUGCAGAAGAGGGUAGUGGAACUCCAUGUGUAGCGGUGGAAUGCGUAGAUAUAUGGAAGAACACCAGUGG